AGAGGUGGAGUAUUUUUUCUGUACAUCUAAUUUACAAUUAGAAGGACCUCAAAGGCAUCUCUU
This 63-nucleotide transfer RNA is filed under the name Onchidella borealis. RNAcentral's name for it is "tRNA-Val". Lineage: Eukaryota; Metazoa; Mollusca; Gastropoda; Systellommatophora; Onchidiidae. The record is from RNAcentral.